Long non-coding RNA from Topomyia yanbarensis, 1804 nucleotides. RefSeq lists it as uncharacterized. The record is from RefSeq and is a predicted model, not a curated record. The transcript is spliced from 4 exons. Lineage: Eukaryota; Metazoa; Arthropoda; Insecta; Diptera; Culicidae.
CUAUGAUUUUCCUCACUGCUUUUUACAACUGUUCAUCUAACUUUUCUACUCGGCGGUCCAAAAGGGAAAGAUCGAGUUGAUUCUCCUGACCGACCAAGAAACUUAUCCUUUUAACUAAUUCUUCUUUCUUCUAUCACUCAAGGGUUUCCGGUUUUCAAUUUCAGAGUUUCCGGUUCUCUCUUGAUUUUUAUUUUCCCUAUUACAGUUUUCCCGUUAUUAUUUAUCUCCUGUACUAGGUUUCCUGUUCACCUCUGUUUCACCCACUUUCCUCCUCAAUACCCACCACCCAUGAACUAGAUAAAUGAUUCGAGCACUUUUAAUAUUGCCUUUAGCUAAGGCGCAAACACUGCUAACGCUACAUUUUUGAAACGGCAGAUUCUACACCGAUCUGCUCGUUUCAUCACUCCCAACUACCCCAAAAAAAAAUAUGAAAUUUUUUUUUUCCAUUAAACUAACCUUUAUAUACUUUCCGGUUUUUUCACUUAACACUUAUUUUUCGAUAAUAAUUCACACCGAUUCAGUAAACAAUUUCCGCUUAACUCUACUAUUUUCACCUAUCAUUAAUUUCUUGCAAUUUAUCCUAACACCGACCGAUUCUAUUUGUUCAACUCUAUACAAACAUGCCGAGAGAGAUCCAACGCGACCGUAAACUAGGUUUCGCACCAGUUAACUAACUAGCAAAAUAUUCUUUGUAUACGGUAUCGGAAGAUACCUCACUCCAAUACAACUAUUGGAAAAAUUCAAGCAUUACGCUCCCAACCACUACAUAUGCCAUACUCCGAAAAAUGUACCUGAACUCAUUUUCAGUCAUAUUCGUAUUGCCAAAAUGUAGUUAAAUACAUAUCAAAACAAUUCCAUAUCAUUAUAUGGACACUAUCAAACUGCAAAUUACUCUCCCUUCUCUCUCUCGGCUUAUAAACGUAUGAUGGACCACUGGGCUAUUGUAACGUAUAUGGUAUUGUUGAGAUAUAGUCUGUGAUCAACUGCUGGUGUAUGAAGUGCGUUGUUCGCAGCAAAACAGAAAAACGUGGAUUGAUGCUCUGGCUAUUGCUAUGACCACAUUUGGAUGGAUGUUUCUAGGAUUAGUCGGUGCUCACUUUGCCAAAAACCAUGAUACUGAAAAGCAAACGCAACUGGUUGCGUGGUGUUGCUUUGUUUCGUGGUUUUUGGUAAAGUACCAUCUGCGGGCCUCUCCCGCAAAAAGGAUGUAAGCUUGAUCAAGGAACCUAUCGUUUGGAAUACGUUCAGCAUUCAUCAACUCGUUAACCUGGAACACGAAAUCAGUAACAUCCAUUCCCUGUACAUCUCCAUUGAACUGGAUACCCCAUUUGUCUAACCGGUAAUGUUGGAACCGAUUAUCUCGCCAAUAAUUUUCCUCAGAUCUUUCUGAGUGGCUUAUCGGUUCAGAAUCUGUGCUAGAUUCUGAUGAAAUAAGACUGCUCAAUGAGUCAAGAGAUGAACUCUCGUCCGCUGAAGGCGAACUUUCAGAAAAUUGGUGCGUUACCGUAAAAUUUAAAAAAGAGAGAAGCUGUAAAAUGAAAGAACUUAGAACUAGCGAAAAUAAACUUCAAUUCACUUUGUUUUUAUAUUGCGUACUAUAAAUCGAAUUUUUUUAUCUUAUUCACCAAAACCCUUAACCUAAAUGAAAUCAAUGCAAAUAAUAUCUAAAGUGCUCGAAUCAACAAUAAAUUACAAUUUAAUUCAAAUAUAUACAAGUGUGGUGAAACCAUGGAACAUUCAAACUUAAAAAUUCUAGUGGGACGAUCUUAUUUGGAGUUGGGCGCCAAUGUAAGGGGGCUCUGGU